RNAcentral lists this unclassified non-coding RNA (19 nucleotides) under Mus musculus (house mouse). RNAcentral's name for it is "oocyte_clustered_small_RNA147". The record is from RNAcentral. Lineage: Eukaryota; Metazoa; Chordata; Mammalia; Rodentia; Muridae.
UCAUUUGCUGCUGGAGAGU